This 21-nucleotide small RNA is filed under the name Arabidopsis thaliana (thale cress). Its description in RNAcentral is "AGO4_03957". Lineage: Eukaryota; Viridiplantae; Streptophyta; Magnoliopsida; Brassicales; Brassicaceae. The record is from RNAcentral.
CCCUUUGUCGCUAAGAUUCGA